Molecule: long non-coding RNA, 1599 nt
Organism: Mus musculus (house mouse)
Lineage: Eukaryota; Metazoa; Chordata; Mammalia; Rodentia; Muridae
Product: RIKEN cDNA 9230116L04 gene
Exons: 3
Source: RefSeq, marked validated
CUUUUUUCACCCUGUGAUGCAGGAGAUGGAACUCAAGGCCUCCAGCAUUCCGGGCAAGUUCUCUACUACUGAGUCAAGCCCCCUUCACCCUCUACCUCCCACCCCAACCUGUAGUCGAUGCCAACCAAUCAAUGCAUAGCUGAGAGAGUGGGAACCCAGGCAUCUUUUGCUGGAAGAAAACGUAGAAGCCCUGAUGGAAACCAGAGGACGGAAUUUGUCACCGAGAGAAAGAUUUACAAGUUGUCUGAUGACCUUGCAGGAGAGACCUGGACCUGAGACUGUGGUGGCUGGGGGACCACACCUUGGCCAGACUACAUGGAAAGAAGCUAUGUAGAGACAGAAAUCUUCAGUACCUAAAAUCCCUUCGCAGGGAAAUGAAUGAAUGAAUGAAUGAAUGGUUACACCUGCAGACCAUUUUGGGGGAGUCUUUCUGGCGUAACAAUAUAAAUGAGUCAGUCAAAUGAACAGAGAUCUUAAUCUGCCCAAAACUGGUGCCGCGGUUCUGGGGAGUUUGGGCUAAGGAUAAACUGGGAGAACUUGCUGCAAGUCCCAGCCCUGCUCUCAGUGAGCGACUACGGCUGCGCGGACAGGCAGGGCUCAGCCGCUUCCGGGAUGGUCGGGAGCCAACGAGACUUCGAGCCUCCGGGUGGGCUAGAGCGGCGCGACAUUCAGGUGUGUGCGGCCAUGGAGGACGAGAAGAGCUUCUCCGAUAUCUGCGGCGGCCGCCUAGCCCUGCGGUGCCGCUACUACUCACCGUACUGCCGCGAGUUCGGCCUCAGCUCGGCUCGGCUGUCGCUGUGCUCGCUCACCGCGGUCACCUGCGCGGUGUGGCUGGCGGCCUACGGGCUCUUCACCCUGUGCGAGGUAAAGGCGGGCGCUCGGCCGGCGCAGGCAGCUUGGAGAGGUCUCGGGGCUGACCCGUGGGUCCGGGAGGGUGGGGACUCCCUGGAUCAGGGUCGCCGUUCCACGGCAGGACUGCCCUCCCUCCCCGAGAAGUUUGUGCUUCUGGACGUUCUACCACAGUGGACCUACUUGCCCUGCUCAUUCAUGGAACAUAACCUCCUCAGAGAACUCAGUGCAUCCUCCCGCAUCACUUACUGGGUACCAAAGCCAACGGAUAGCAGGCGUGCGACAGAAUUACAGAAAAGUUUUUGCCUCCACAACUGUGCAGUACAGAAUCUCCACCUAAUAUCUGUUUCUCAAGGCCAGGUCAACUACCAUCCCCUCUCCCAACCCUUCCCCAGUUUAAGUGCAUUUUCUAAAGUGUUGCCAGGUCUAAGACACGAGGGUUUUCUAUGCUCAGUUUUCAGACUUUCUAAUCUUUUUUCCCCCCGAGCCUCAUUUUUAACAUCUCUAAGUUGAAAUUAAUGGUUCAAAAUAUUGCGAAGGUCAACUGCUAUUAUUUUGUGACAGUUCCCAAGCAAAAAGAGUCAUCCGAUUGGCCUUUGUUCAGGAUGUUCUGUUCUGUUUUAACUCCCUGUAUAGCCCUAAAAUGAAUAUAUUAUUCCAGGAGUGAUCUUAAUAGAGCCAGUACACCAGAACUGUUUAUUUCUGCAAUUUUCAUAUUGUUUGUAUUAAAACAUCCCUUAGCUUUUUUCU